AUGUGCGUCGACUACAGACAUUUAAAUGCAAUCACAACAAUGGCUAAGUUUCCGGUGCCCAUAAUUGAAGAAUUGUUAGAUGAGUUACAUGGGGCAGUAUGGUUCUCAAAACUGGAUUUGCGGUCAGGAUACCAUCAAAUCUGGCUGGCGCCAGGCGAAGAGUACAAGACGGCUUUCCAAACCCAUUCAUGUCACUAUGAAUUUAAGGUGGUCUCCUUUGGGUUGGCUGGGGGCCCGGCCACUUUCAACGGAGGCUCCAUACCACACUCCGGCCCCUGCUCCGCGACUGUGUGUUGCUCUUCUUCGACGACAUCCUAG
RNAcentral lists this ribosomal RNA (318 nucleotides) under Triticum aestivum (bread wheat). RNAcentral describes it as "partial small subunit ribosomal RNA". The record is from RNAcentral. Lineage: Eukaryota; Viridiplantae; Streptophyta; Magnoliopsida; Poales; Poaceae.